This 602-nucleotide ribosomal RNA is filed under the name uncultured fungus. RNAcentral's name for it is "eukaryotic LSU rRNA". It matches the Rfam family "Eukaryotic large subunit ribosomal RNA", at positions 30 to 649 of the family's 3401-position model. Lineage: Eukaryota; Fungi. The record is from RNAcentral.
GAACUUAAGCAUAUCAAUAAGCGGAGGAAAAGAAACCANCAGGGAUUGCCUCAGUAACGGCGAGUGAAGCGGCAACAGCUCAAAUUUGAAAUCUGGUCGCAAGGCCCGAGUUGUAAUUCGCAGAGGAUGCUUCGGGUGCGGCAGCGGUCUAAGUUCCUUGGAACAGGAUGUCAUAGAGGGUGAGAAUCCCGUAUGCGAUCGACGGCCAACCCCGUGUGAAGCUCCUUCGACGAGUCGAGUUGUUUGGGAAUGCAGCUCCAAAUGGGUGGUAAAUUCCAUCUAAAGCUAAAUACCGGCCAGAGACCGAUAGCGCACAAGUAGAGUGAUCGAAAGAUGAAAAGCACUUUGGAAAGAGAGUUAAACAGUACGUGAAAUUGUUAAAAAGGAAGCGUUUGCAACCAGACUUGAUAGGGGUGAUCAGUCGUCCUUCGGGGCGGCGUACUCGCUCCAUUUCAGGCCAGCAUCGGUUCUGGCGGCUGGACAAAAGCGACGGGAACGUGGCUCUCCUUCGGGGGAGUAUUAUAGCCCGCCGUUGAAUGCAGCCCGCUGGGACCGAGGACCGCGCUUCGGCUAGGAUGCUGGCGUAAUGGUUGUAAACUCCC